Molecule: long non-coding RNA, 6567 nt
Filed under: Eucalyptus grandis
Lineage: Eukaryota; Viridiplantae; Streptophyta; Magnoliopsida; Myrtales; Myrtaceae
Description: long non-coding RNA (EGRA_LNC000438)
Source: RNAcentral
ACCAACCACACCUCAAACAAACUUGACGGCAAAGUAGCCAUCAUCACUGGUGGCGCGAGCGGCAUUGGCGAGGAGGCGGCGCGUCAGUUGACAAAUCAUGGCGCAUAUGUCGUGAUUGCAGACAUCCAAGACAAAAAGGGCCACGACCUUGUGUUGUCGAUUGGAUCCCACCGGUGCAUUUACAUCCAUUGCGAUGUCACGGAUGAGCAUCAGGUGAAGUCCUUGGUGGAAUCAACUCUUCAAUCAAAUGGCCACCUAGACAUCUUGUUCAGCAAUGCAGGCAUAAUGAAUAACAUCAAACAAGACAUUCUGGAGUUCGACAUACCUGCUUUCGAGAGCCUGUUUGCCAUCAAUGUUCGGGGAGUGGCCGCCUGUGUCAAGCACGGGGCUCGCGCCAUGGUGGCGGGGGGCAUAAAGGGAAGCAUAAUUUGCACGGCGAGCAUCGCAGCCAGCAAUGGAAACGAGAAUCGGGUAGACUAUGUGAUGUCUAAGCAUGCCGUGCUGGGUUUGGUGAGGUCGGCAAGUAAGCAACUUGGAGCAUACGGGAUACGCGUGAACUGUGUCUCCCCUGGACCGGUCGCAACACCAUUAGUCCGUGGAGUGUACGGCGUGAGUGAGGAGGAAGGCGAGAGGAUGUUUGAGUCAAGUUCAAGCUUGAAAGGAGUGCUGAAAGCGAAGCAUGUGGCUGAUGCCGUGGUGUUCCUUGCUUCUGAAGAGGCCGAAUUCAUCAACGGCCACAAUCUGGCGGUCGAUGGUGGAUGGGCCGGAAUUAGAUAGGCUAUUCUGAGGAGACUAGAAAUAAAAGUCGCAAACUCUUAACUCACCUGGGCUUGGUUUGCCGCUGUAGCAAUAUAAAUCCGGAGAAAUAAUGAAAUCGAGCUGAUGCUAUCUUGUUUGUGAAAGGAAUACUUUGCCUUGAUUUUUAAAUUCGGCGACUCGGUUGGUGAUUUGAUUAAAAGGUAUGCGUUGACGCUUGUUGAAUUCAACCAAAGGAAUAGCCAAAAGUCCUGCUAUGCCAAGAGGCAAUGAAAUCCUAAUCAUUUUUAACUCUAUUUUGUUUUGUUGGACUUGGCGGUCCUCGUCCGUCCUCAUUCCUCACCAGACCCGAUCAAUCUUUAUUUUUAUUUUUAUUUUAUAUUAGUUGUAAACGACUAUUCAUUAGGAAUGCUAAAUAAUUUAUAGUGCAGUCGAUCUAACACAUCUUUGAAAGGUCAAAUACAUAUCAUUCUUGGUUUAGUUACACAACGAGACUCCUUAUGAUUUUUGAUGGUAUUGGUUUUUCCCUCAUGGUGGUUCGUCACACGAGCUACCGCUCACUAGUCCGACCAAUGAGCCACAGCGCUGCCCCUCCGGCUCCACCGCCGUCGAGUCGCUGCCCCCUCCCAAGUACUCUUUUUCUCUCCCUCUGAAUCAUGACUGAACCCUUGUGCGACAAACCACCAUGCAGCCUCCGCUUCUGUUAUCGCGAAGUUCAUUGGCUGGCCACGGUGGUUCGUCAGUUGGACAAGGAAUUGGGCGAAGAGAGAGAGUCGGGUGAGACAAAGCAUGAGAGGAGAGAGAGGAGAGAGGAGAGAGAGUGUGAAGGGGAAGCAAAAGAGAGAAAAGCGCGUAGAGAAAAGAGAGAGGGAAAAAGGAGAUGAGCUUAUUGUCCGGGGAUUUUAUUUGCUUCCGCAUGCAUAUUAAAAUGAAAUGAUUGGCGAUACGUCCUGAGAUGUCGCUAUUUAAUCGACCAAGGUGAAGGAUGGGUGCGUGCCCGAGGAUCGGGGUGUGACAGGUUGAGCCUCACUAGAUUAGGCGAGAUCGAGCUCACCUGACGCCGGCGAGCUCAAGCCUCAAAAGAUUCAACCACCUAGGUGAGGCUCGAGCCUCAUCGGAGGUCCCUAGAACCUUGCCAAUGCCUGGCAACAUCGGGUGGGGCUUAGUCUCACCCAAGUGGUCGGAUCUAGCUAGGCACGAGUUCAUUUGAGGCCAAUCAAGGCGAGGUUGAGCCUUGCCGGGCUUGGGCCUCACCAUAGGCCAGCAACGCUCAACCUCAUUGGAAUCUAGAUAGCUUGAGCCUUGCUAGCUUGUGGCGAGUCUCUAGCUCGCCUAUGGCUGGAAUAAAAAUAAUUAAAAAAAUCAAUUUUUUUAGAAAAUAAAUAAAUGAAAAAAUAAAAGGAAAAUGUUUUCAAAAGUGAGGUGAAAGAAGGUAUGGAAAAUGUUUUCCUCUUUUUCAAAAGUGGAAAACAUUUUAUCCAAUCUCAGAUGAUUUUUUUCCCUUCAUGGAAAAUGUUUUCCCUAGCUAAUUCAUUUAUUGUGAAACGAACGUCGAAAAAUUUGAAGAAGUUUUCCUGGAAGUUAUUUUCCGUAAAAUGAUUGGGGGAGUCUAAAAUUCUCAUAAAGCCCUGACCAUGCUCAUUGAAAUUUGCCCAUUGAUCACCUCUAUACCUAUCCUCCUCCUUGACCUCAGGCUCUUUGCAGGGGCCAUUCCCUACACUGAAAAUGAGAUCGCGUCAACAAUCACUUACUUGUUGGCGAGUCAAUUCUUAUUUUUUUAGAUUAGUUACAAAUCAAUCACAAAAGAUGCGAAGUAAGAUAAAUUACUUGUAGCGCAGGAGAUCUUACAUAUCUUUGAAAAGACAAUGAAACAUCUUGGGUCACAACGAAACAUCAUAUGAUUUUUUAUGGUAUUUGUCUUUCCCUCCUCGCAAUAAUCAAAAGUCCAAGGAGAAAAAUGAGUGGAGGCAGUUUGUGCAGUCUUGCAUGAAUGGAAUAAGCGCUCUCGUCCAAAAGCCCGCCUCUUCGUCGCCAAACGCAGCAUCCCGUCUGUGUCCGAUUGCCACCACAUAAUUGAGCUUCAGCGAUUGGGUUAAAGCAGGGAAGAGAGAGAUAGAGAAAAGACGACCGAACAUAAGGAUCCGACUGACACAGGGAUCAGACCCAAAUCCACAAGCCAAAGCAUGGGCAUCAACGCCUCUACCGAGCCUCAAAGCCGACAAACUGUUCUCACAAAAAAGCAACUAUUUUGAUUUUUUUUUUUUUAUAGGAGGAACCAGCUUGCAGCCGAUAGCCGCGUCGUAAACUUCCAGGGCUUCGAACUCCUCACCUCUCUCGCAAAGGAUCACUGAAGCCUCCCCUUCUGAGCCACCACGGCCGGUGGUACUAUUUUGAUGUUGAUAUGUAGUAUGCACUCAAAAUGAUCCGUAACCUGAGUGAAACUAACAUAGACCUGAUUUGUCCAUUUCAUUGAACUUGUGGAGAUCAAUUUCAUGAAGGUGCUCAUGUAAUUAGAGUGAGGAGGGAUUAAAAUCUAGAUUAUCGCCAUAGAGGUUAACAUAUUGAGAAUUAACGAAGUAACAUCAAACUUGAUCAGAUUUUCCUCAAACAGAAACGAGAUCUACAAGAAUUUGUUCUAAAUCAAAGUGAACAGAGAGAAAUAAUUUGGAUCUCACCUUGACAACGUGAUUAAAAGAUGCGAACUGAGAGGGAACCCACAAUAGGAAGUUCCGGAGGACUAGUCCUUAGUGAAUGGGCCAAUGAAGAGGUCUCGAGCGAAGUCUAAGCUAUUCGUACUCUCCCGGUCGGAAAACAGUGCACAGUAGAACUUGGUUGUGCAAUGGUAGAAGUGACUGAGUGAUCAGCAACGUGUAGACUCUAGAUUUGAAGGAGACAAACACCGCGAUGAAAGCCAAGGAGUCACUCUUGGCGGAAGGAAUAUUCUUUCCAUUCGCUCAAGCCUCACCAUAAUAUUGCAGAUGAAAUGUCUAUUUUAGGGUUACAUGGGUUCCUGGUUUGGUUCUUGGUCCAGCCUCAGUCCGACUCUCAAUCUGGUUUUUGGUUCCGGAUCCUGCUGAUUCGGUUUCCAUCCAGGAAUUGGGAAUUAAACCACAUAGUGCAUGUUCCCAAAAUUAUGGAAUGGGGAACCUAACCGAUUUCCGCCAAAUCGGUUCCCACGACCAAUUCAUGAUUCUACUCGAGAACCAUGUGCUCUUGUAAUACGAGAAAUUGUUGUUUCUGGAGACAAGAAAGACCAAUCGACUCAAAGAUGAUUUGGAAAUUGUGAAGUACCUUCUCAAGAACAUGAAGCCUACAUGGGUCUUUUUUCUCCAAAGAUCUAUGACUUUCUAUUUAUCAUCCAUGUUCGCAUAUGCGUGUGUACAAACAAUUGAUAUUUAAAUAAAAAAGUAAUUUAAAUCAUUUUGUUACAAAAUGUUUGAAUGAUUAAAUAAUGCAAAAAAUAAUAUUGAUAAAAAUACAAGUUAAGAACAAUGUGUAUGAAUAUUUAUGAAAAGAGGAAAAGAAAGCUUUAACUUGUGUAACAGUUAACUAACCAGAUAUAUUCAAUCCCCUUAUUCCACCAGGACCAAAAGCACGAGUAGAGAAAAACACAAGAUCUAGAUAGAGAAGCCUUAAACAACACUUAUCCUAAAAAAGAGGAAAUUUACUGGGAUAUCCAGUAGGAGAACAUGACUUGGAAGGAGAAUCUCAAGCUGCCCUUUCGCUUUUGAGCAUGGAUCCAAAGGGGCAUAAAAAAGUGUAGGGAAAUUGUUUCUCGGAUCAUUGUUAUCCAAAGGAGUUGAUGAAAAUGCGUUCGUCUUUGAGCCAAUUAAGUUUCAGCCAUGAAAAUUUGCUCCUUUAGUAACUUUCAACUGAAUUCGUUGACUAUUUGCAUUUCACUGACACAAGAUGCAAUAUUAAUUGAAUCUGGAAAUUAUGCAAUUAAUUUCUACCUUGUGAGGAAAAUUAAAGGACCAAAUUUGGCUUCUGCAAAAGGUAUGGUCUAAGUAGCACAAACACGUGACACGACACAACACGAUACGCCGACACAUCAUUUCUCAAAAAUAAAAAAUUCCGAUACGUUAGGACACGUUGUUAUUAAAUAAAUAUUUUUAUUUUUAAUUCAUUUGAAUAAAUAAAUAAAGAGUUUACAAUGAAUUUAUACUAAUAAUAUUAAUAUAUCUAUUCAUAAAAAAUUUGAAAAGCAUAUUCAAUAGUUAAUGCGUAACCAUAUUUAGGAACAUAUUUUUUAACUUUAAUAAAAAUUAUGAAUAAGACUAAUGACUAACAAAAAAAUAAAAUCAACUUUAUUUAAAUAAAUCUAUAAUAUUUUAUAAUCAUCAAAAUUUAUUAUUAUUUAAUAUUCAAUAUUUUUAUUUUUCGAAAUAAUUUUUUAACUCAUUUACUUAUUUUUAUAACAAAAAUAACUUUACUGCUCAAAAUUAUUUUCCUCUCUUUUUAUUCUAAACUCUAGUCUCCAAAAAAUUAUUUCCCUCCCCGUUUCUCUCUCCCCUAUCCCCCACGAAACCCCAAAAUCUUUCCUCGAUUUUUUCCCUGCUCUCUCUCUCUCUCUCUCCCUCUCCCCCAUUUCUCUCUCUCCUAUCCCCCACGCCACCCCAAAAUCUUUCAUUGAUUUCUUCCCUACUCUCUCUCUCUCUCUCUCUCUCUUCCUCCCCCACGACAGCACCUCACGCCACCUCAAGAUCUUGCCCUUGAUUUCUUCCGUGCUCUCUCUGCCUCCCCCUCCCCCUCGACGGCACCUGCUCCCCCUGCUACCUGCCCCCAUCAAUCAUUCCCAACCCCCGCCCCCAUCAAUCGCCUCGCCUCCACCCUCCAUCAUCAUCCUUUCUCUCGGACACACGCGUUGGAGCGUGUCGAGAUAAAGGUUGACCGCAUGGGGGGAAAUCCGACUUGUGUUGAUUACGAGUCCGAGCACGUCGGAGCGUGUCUGUUGGACACGACACAGAAGCUCCGGCAACGUGUCGGUGCUUCUUAACUCAUCCUCACACCAACACCCAUAUGCUGCGAACUGUAUGUCUUAUUGAGAUUAAUGUGACAAGGAUUCAGCGAGCUUUUAAUGUAACAAGCCUAAAUUGAUUAAAGAGUCCAUAUCAAUUUGAUUGUAAUAGCCUACCAAUAACUUGCCAAUUUUGUCCAGAUCCGAACCUCGGGUAUGAUCGUAAUAUUUAACAGAAAAUCAACACCGAACAUUCAAUCUAAACAUAAUUGUGCUUUGUCUUUCCUCAAGUUCUAUAUACGAAGAAGCUCCGCAUCUCCCUCAGCACAACUUCAUGGUCCUUUCCUGUACUCGGUUUUCCAUUCUCUCCCUACAGAAAUGACCAGCCACGCCUCAAACAAACUUGACGGCAAAGUAGCCAUCAUCACUGGUGGCGCGAGCGGCAUCGGCGAGGAGGCGGCGCGUCAGUUGACAAAUCAUGGCGCAUAUGUCGUGAUUGCAGACAUCCAAGACAAAAAGGGCCACGACCUUGUGUUGUCGAUUGGAUCCCACCGGUGCAUUUACAUCCAUUGCGAUGUCACGGAUGAGCAUCAGGUGAAGUCCUUGGUGGAAUCAACUCUUCAAUCAAAUGGCCAUCUAGACAUCUUGUUCAGCAAUGCAGGCAUAAUGAAUAACAUCAAACAAGACAUUCUGGAGUUCGACAUACCUGCUUUCGAGAGCCUGUUUGCCGUCAAUGUUCGGGGAAUGGCCGCCUGUGUCAAGCACGGGGCUCGCGCCAUGGUGGCGGGGGGCAUAAAGGGAAGCAUAAUUUGCACAGCGAGCGUCGCGGCCAGCACUGGAUUCGAGAAUUGGGU